This 391-nucleotide small RNA is filed under the name Histoplasma capsulatum. Its description in RNAcentral is "hypothetical RNA". Lineage: Eukaryota; Fungi; Ascomycota; Eurotiomycetes; Onygenales; Ajellomycetaceae. The record is from RNAcentral. RNAcentral also lists the same sequence under 1 other name.
ACCGCAAGAGAUCGACGUUUGGAACACGGGACAGUCGAUGGGGGUUCGCGAUGGAGCCAAAGUUAAAACGUCAGCCCUUGUUGCAAGAAAUACACGUUCGAAUGUAAAAUACGCAGUACUGCAGAACAAAAUAAACUGCAGUGGCUGACGCCCAAGUCAAUAUCUGCAUGCCUCAGCACGGAGAGUGACCUGGGGAAGUGUCCUGCAUGUGGAUUUUUCCGUUGGCUGGUUGCCGGAGAAGGUUCUCACCAACACCAUCACAUACACAACCCAAUUACUAGUGGAUGGUUUGCUACAUGAUCAGUGAUCGGCAUUCGGUCACCGAUAAAGUCAAUCUCCACGACAAUGCUCUGUUAUGCCUCCCAGGUGCAUUUACUUGAAUAUAAGAUGG